UACGAAGGGGGCUAGCGUUGCUCGGAAUUACUGGGCGUAAAGCGCACGUAGGCGGCUUUCUAAGUCGGGGGUGAAAUCCUGGAGCUCAACUCCAGAACUGCCUUCGAUACUGGAGAGCUUGAGUCCGGGAGAGGUGAGUGGAACUGCGAGUGUAGAGGUGAAAUUCGUAGAUAUUCGCAAGAACACCAGUGGCGAAGGCGGCUCACUGGCCCGGUACUGACGCUGAGGCGCGAAAGCCAGGGGAGCAAACGGG
RNAcentral lists this ribosomal RNA (253 nucleotides) under uncultured bacterium. RNAcentral's name for it is "partial 16S ribosomal RNA". It matches the Rfam family "Bacterial small subunit ribosomal RNA", at positions 524 to 776 of the family's 1533-position model. The record is from RNAcentral.